Molecule: ribosomal RNA, 433 nt
Filed under: uncultured bacterium
Lineage: Bacteria
Description: bacterial SSU rRNA
Rfam family: Bacterial small subunit ribosomal RNA
Source: RNAcentral
AACGAACGCUGGCGGCAUGCCUAACACAUGCAAGUCGAACGAACCCUUCGGGGUUAGUGGCGCACGGGUGCGUAACGCGUGGGGAUCUGCCCAAAGGUUCGGAAUAACUCAGAGAAAUUUGAGCUAAUACCGGAUAAUGUCUUCGGACCAAAGAUUUAUUGCCUUUGGAUGAACCCGCGUAGGAUUAGCUUGUUGGUGGGGUAAAGGCCUACCAAGGCGACGAUCCUUAGCUGGUCUGAGAGGAUGAUCAGCCACACUGGGACUGAGACACGGCCCAGACUCCUACGGGAGGCAGCAGUGGGGAAUAUUGGACAAUGGGCGAAAGCCUGAUCCAGCAAUGCCGCGUGAGUGAUGAAGGCCUUAGGGUUGUAAAGCUCUUUUACCAGGGAUGAUAAUGACAGUACCUGGAGAAUAAGCUCCGGCUAACUCCGUG